GAUGAACGCUGGCGGCGUGCCUAAUACAUGCAAGUAGAACGCUGAAGGAAGGAGCUUGCUCUUUCCGGAUGAGUUGCGAACGGGUGAGUAACGCGUAGGUAACCUGCCUGGUAGCGGGGGAUAACUAUUGGAAACGAUAGCUAAUACCGCAUAACAGUAGAUGUCGCAUGAUAUCUACUUAAAAGGUGCAAUUGCACCACUACCAGAUGGACCUGCGUUGUAUUAGCUAGUUGGUGAGGUAACGGCUCACCAAGGCGACGAUACAUAGCCGACCUGAGAGGGUGAUCGGCCAGACUGGGACGGUGACACGGCCCAGAGGGCUUGGGGAGGCAGCAGGAGGGAAACGGGAGCAAGGGGCGGAAGACAGACCGAGAAACGCGGCGGGAGUGAAGAGGGUUGUCGGAUCGUAAAGCUCUGUUGUAAGGGAAGAAAGAGUGUGAGAGUGUAAAGUUCACACUGUGACGGUAUCUGACCAGAAAGGGACGGCUAACUACGUG
RNAcentral lists this ribosomal RNA (497 nucleotides) under uncultured bacterium. Its description in RNAcentral is "partial 16S ribosomal RNA". It matches the Rfam family "Bacterial small subunit ribosomal RNA", at positions 28 to 507 of the family's 1533-position model. The record is from RNAcentral.